GCCGGGCAUGGUGGUGCAUGCCUGUAAUCCCAGCUACUCAGGAGGCUGAGGCAGGAGAAUCACUUGAACCCAGGAGGUGGAGGUUGCAGUGAGCUGAGGUCAUACCAUUGCACUCCAGCCUGGGUGACAGAGUGAAAAUUUGUCUCAA
This 148-nucleotide non-coding RNA is filed under the name Homo sapiens (human). The record is from Rfam by way of RNAcentral. Lineage: Eukaryota; Metazoa; Chordata; Mammalia; Primates; Hominidae.